RNAcentral lists this long non-coding RNA (1438 nucleotides) under Homo sapiens (human). Its description in RNAcentral is "non-protein coding OSER1-DT:39". The record is from RNAcentral. Lineage: Eukaryota; Metazoa; Chordata; Mammalia; Primates; Hominidae.
ACAGUAGUCCUCUGCCUCCACCGCCCCGGGAUCUCCUUGCGCUCGGUCCUCUACGUGGAGUCACCUAUGCAGAGGAAUUCCACGGGGCGGGGGCGAGGACAGGGUGCGGGGGUCUUUAUGGCAGACAAUCCCCGGCUGAGCGCUUGGCCAGAGUUUCUGUGAUGCUAGAAUCUGGACUGCCUGCGACCUCUCCGGGACUCGGACACCAGCCCUCGCCUCCUGGUGAUCUUUUAGGUCCUGCAGAGAAGUGAAGAGGUAUUGGACGUGGCCAGGAUGAGCCCCAGAGAGGCGAAGCCACUUGAGCUCGUGAGUGACAGUCAGAUGUCAAGCCCUGCUCUUUCUAAAGCGUGCUGCCUUCAGAAAAGAAGAGCCAGAAGGAUGGAAAUUACUUCAGAAAGAUGAAUACCAGCUUUGAAGGAAUAAAAGCUGACGAGGAAUUGAAGGAGUUGAGGCACGAGCUUGAACAGGGUUGCAUGUUUGGCCCUUGAUUGUAAAUGCCCAUUGCUGCACCUGUUCCUGUUACUUGGGGAGUUGCAGCAGAAGGAACAGCGGCCUGGGACUCCAGAGAACUGGGUUCCCUCUCAUCCCUCCAGGGCCACCACUUCUUGUGGGCCCUUGGGCAAGUCACUGUACUUUCUGAGUCUCAGUUUCCCCAUUUGCAGAAUGGAAAUAACUACCCCGGUCUACCAACUUAGAAGAAUUGCUUUGAGGAUCUGAUAAGGUGGUGUGGAUGAUGCUGCCUUGGGGGCUUUACAGUCUGGAGCUCAAGGGACCCCUUAAGUUGGGCUUACUUAGUAACUCCAGGGGUGGGCAGAACAGGACUCCAAUGAGGGUUUUUUUCUUUUUCCCUUUUUUUUCUUUUCCUAUCUCUUAACUUUUAUCUUUAUUAUUUUACAAUGCCCUUGUAAGAUGAAACAAGUGAUGCUGAAAUAUCUUUUUCUUUUUUAACCUUUAUUUUAGAAUUGGGGUACAUGUGCAGGUUUGUUACAUAGGUACAGUGUGGGCUGCUGAGGUUUGGGAGUACGAAUGAAUUAGUCACCCCAGUGGUGAGCAUAGUGCCCGAUAAGUGGUUUUUUCAACCCUUACUCCCAUCCCUCUCCAUUCUUGUGUUCCCCAGUGUCUGCUGUUCCCAUUUUUAUGACCAUGUGUACUCAAUGUUUAGCUCCCACUUAGAAGUAAGAACAUGCCCAGCACUUUGGGAGGCCGAGGUGGGUGGAUCAUGAGGUCAAGAGAUCGAGACCAUCUUGGCUAACAAAGUGAAACCCUGUCUCUACUAAAAACAUAAAAAAUUGGCCGGGUGUGGUGGUGGGCACCUGUAGUCCUAGCUACUCGGGAGGCUGAGACAGGAGAAUCGCCUGAACCGGGGAGGUGGAGGUUGCAGUGAGCUGAGAUUGUACCACUGCACUCCAGCCUGGGUGACAGAGUGAGACUCCAUCUC